This 73-nucleotide transfer RNA is filed under the name Chryseobacterium gallinarum. RNAcentral's name for it is "tRNA-Met". It matches the Rfam family "tRNA". Rfam says of the family: Transfer RNA (tRNA) molecules are approximately 80 nucleotides in length. Lineage: Bacteria; Pseudomonadati; Bacteroidota; Flavobacteriia; Flavobacteriales; Weeksellaceae. The record is from RNAcentral.
GGUUAUUUAACUCAGUUGGUAGAGUGUCACGCUCAUAACGUGAAGGUCGGGAGUUCGAGUCUCUCAAUAACCA